Molecule: ribosomal RNA, 433 nt
Filed under: uncultured bacterium
Lineage: Bacteria
Description: partial 16S ribosomal RNA
Rfam family: Bacterial small subunit ribosomal RNA
Source: RNAcentral
AACGAACGCUGGCGGCAGGCCUAACACAUGCAAGUCGAGCGAGGACUUCGGUUCUAGCGGCGGACGGGUGAGUAACGCGUGGGAAUGUGCCCUUCUCUACGGAAUAGCCCUGGGAAACUGGGAGUAAUACCGUAUACGCCCUAUUGGGGAAAGAUUUAUCGGAGAAGGAUCAGCCCGCAUUGGAUUAGGUAGUUGGUGGGGUAAUGGCCUACCAAGCCGACGAUCCAUAGCUGGUUUGAGAGGAUGAUCAGCCACACUGGGACUGAGACACGGCCCAGACUCCUACGGGAGGCAGCAGUGGGGAAUCUUAGACAAUGGGGGCAACCCUGAUCUAGCCAUGCCGCGUGAGUGAUGAAGGCCUUAGGGUUGUAAAGCUCUUUCAGCUGGGAAGAUAAUGACGGUACCAGCAGAAGAAGCCCCGGCUAACUCCGUG